UCCCUUUCUCACAGGUGCUUCAUGCUGCUCUUGGAAGGACCCUGGUUCAGCACAAAGUGCUCGAGCCUCUGUGGUGAUGCACAGUAGAUUGAAGGUGAAGGAAAAAAAAAGCUCUUUGCUGGAGCUUUUCCUCUCCUCUGAGGUAAGUGACCUUGUCACCACCACCAACCUCUGCCCCGGUUGCACCACCUGUACCACAGCCAAUUAUCUGAGCUGAAACUGGGGACUAAUGCCUGGCUGUUUAAUUUGGAAGAGCAAUAGGAAGGUCACUGGGAAAGGUAAUGCAGUCCCAAUGAUUGAACAUGUGGAUGAGGGCACCACAAAAAUAUAAUCUACUUUGCUGAGGAUGUGAUAAACCAGGUUUAUAUAUGUGGUUGGCAAGCAGUACUUCUGGGCCUUACUUCAUCAGAUAAUCCAGAUAGCAGAGCAACUGUGUAUCUCUCUGGUCCCUUAAUAUGACAUUAAAUCUAAGGAUUAGGUUAUUUUCACAUUUGUAGGGUUUUCUAAAACAGAAUUAGAAGUAACUCCUAUGUAUUUCCUAGCUGUCUUCCUCUUUAUGUGUGUGUGUGAGGGGAGUUGUUUCUAUGAAAUAAUACUUAUUUCUGCAAUCAGGCAAAGAUAAUCUAAGGGAAAGAUUUCUCAUAUUCCAAAAGACAAAACCUUAGCAGAAAAAUCUGAAUGCAGACAUUUGACUGCAGGGCCAUCCAUGUUUCCCCCGACAUGCUCUUUUGUCAUUCAGAAUAAGAAGCCCAGAAAUCCCAGAUGGCGGUGGUGUUUGCGGACAGUCAAAGGGCAGCGUCACUGCAUGUAUGCAUGUAGCUGAGGUGUCCCCCAGGCGAGGCUCACUGCAUGCAUGAGGCCUGGGUGGGCUGUGGGUGUGCAGUGACUCUGCCACGUGGGCCUGCCCAGCGCAGCCACCACAUCACGCACCAGGAAGUCUGCGCCUCUUUGCAGGAGUCCCGCCCAAUGCUGAUUAUGAUCUGUCUGAAAUCUCUCCAAAUUCCUGAACAACCUCCUGCUGUUAACACCACUACCAAAGUUGGGCCCUAGAGUCUACUGGGUCACCCAGAAUGAAGAGUCCACCGCUGACGUGACAGUUAAUGCCACUUACUUUCCCUCCAGGAAAUGUGGGGCAGUGCACUGAGUUCAACCUCUCAUUCUUGCUAUGAGAUACUCUUUUCUUUCCCUACAGAGAAGUCAAAGCAGGGAAGGACUCUUAUUUGUUGUGUGGGAAUGGGACCAUAUGUGGCCUAAAAUCUGAAAGGGAACUGAGGGAGCGAUAACAUUGCAAGCACAGACUCUGGUCCUAUUCCUAUCCCAUGCUGGCAAGUUACUGGGGCAGGGAUACUUUAUGGAAAUUAGGUAAAUGGCCAAGAUGUCCUCCCUUUGCCAAUGCAAUACUAGCAUGCUGUGGCCCUGCUCAUAGAAAUAUCUUUGGACAAUGCUUUCUACAAACACGGAUCUGAUACAAGUGUGACUGGGCCUAAAUAGUCCCAUGAAGUCCUGUGCACUACACUGGCACCUAGAGAGAUUAAUAGUCUCUGGAUAAUGAAUUGAUAGAAAAAUGGACAGUAUACAUAUAGAUAGAUUUAAGAUAGAAAUGUAAGAUGCAACACAAAUAUAAGCCUUUUCUCUUCAUUUUUCUCCUGUUUUAUACCAAGCUGUGUUGAGAUUGGUCCUCUUUUAAAUAUUUUUACGAAUAAUGAAAUAACUGAUGCAUUGUAAUCCCAAUGGAGGCCUUACCAUUUUACCCUGAGGCAUUACUCUGCUAUUUAAGGCUCUGAAAGAAUGCAGUUUAAUAGAAUGAGAAGAUCAGAAAGCUUUGUCAUUGUCCUUACUUGAUGUCUGAGUCCUCCAGGAUCUGCUCAAAUGCCCUGAGAUAUCUGCUUAGUUCUUUUAAGCAUUAUUCCAGUGCUGUAAGAGAAGACUCUUGAGCUGGGACCAUGCUUCAGGGUAAUCACUCCAUUGCCUAGGGAUUUGGGGGAAGUUUAAGGCAUCCUUGUGCCUGAGGAUUUCAGGCACUACGAGGUACCAGAGAAGGCUCUGGCAUACAUUAGAGUAGUUCCACAGCCCAAAUCAUCCCCACAGCUUCCAGAACAGCAUACGGUACAGAGCUUUUUCUUCUCUUAGUGCUUUUCCUUUCAUCUCUGGACUUAAUAAAGCAUCAGUCUUGGAGCGUGUAGCA
Molecule: long non-coding RNA, 2185 nt
Filed under: Phasianus colchicus (ring-necked pheasant)
Lineage: Eukaryota; Metazoa; Chordata; Aves; Galliformes; Phasianidae
Description: lncRNA (ENSPCLG00000005760.1)
Source: RNAcentral